RNAcentral lists this small RNA (299 nucleotides) under Histoplasma ohiense. Its description in RNAcentral is "hypothetical lncRNA". Lineage: Eukaryota; Fungi; Ascomycota; Eurotiomycetes; Onygenales; Ajellomycetaceae. The record is from RNAcentral.
UACAUACAUAUAUACAUCAUCCGUUUGGCGCACAUCUUCUCUUUUCAUAUUGUUUUUAUAUUUUAGUAUUCUAUGUUAGUGUGACUUGGAAUUGGAUUACCGUUACAUUCUCGAGCUUCAUCCUCCUUUGAGAUGUUUCUUCCAGAUGGAGUAAUUUGUUUUUCUUGUGGCUGGAGAGGGGUAAUCUGAGCUUUGUUACUGAUCCGUUAUGUCAUGAAAUCUUUGUGAUAAUAUAGUCAUAGUCAUAGGCAGUGAGUGCUACUUUGCCUCGCAUAAUACAGCUCAUGUUUGUAAGAUAA